This 253-nucleotide ribosomal RNA is filed under the name uncultured bacterium. RNAcentral describes it as "partial 16S ribosomal RNA". It matches the Rfam family "Bacterial small subunit ribosomal RNA", at positions 524 to 776 of the family's 1533-position model. The record is from RNAcentral.
UACGUAGGGUGCGAGCGUUAAUCGGAAUUACUGGGCGUAAAGUGUGCGCAGGCGGCCGCGCAAGUCGAGUGUGAAAGCCCCGGGCUUAACUUGGGAAUUGCGCUCGAAACUACGUGGCUGGAGUAUGGCAGAGGAAGGUGGAAUUCCACGUGUAGCGGUGAAAUGCGUAGAGAUGUGGAGGAACACCGAUGGCGAAGGCAGUCUUCUGGGCCAAUACUGACGCUCAUGCACGAAAGCGUGGGGAGCAAACAGG